RNAcentral lists this small RNA (1321 nucleotides) under Pan troglodytes (chimpanzee). RNAcentral describes it as "retained intron". The record is from RNAcentral. Lineage: Eukaryota; Metazoa; Chordata; Mammalia; Primates; Hominidae.
AGAUAACACAGCCUGGGCUGUCAUGACCCCCCAGGAGCUCUGGAAGAACAUCUGCCAGGAGGCCAAGAACUACUUUGACUUCGACCUCGAGUGUGAGACCGUGGACCAGGCUGUGGAGACCUACGGCCUGCAGAAGAUAACGCUCCUGCGGGAGAUCUCGCUGAAAACAGGGAUCCAGGUCCUGCUGAAGGAGUACAGCUUCGACAGUCGCCACAAGCCUGCGUUCACCGAGGAGGACGUGCUCAACAUCUUCCCCGUGGUCAAGCACGUCAACCCCAAGGCCUCGGAUGCCUUCCAUUUCUUCCAGAGCGGGCAGGCCAAAGUGCAGCAGGGUGCGUGGCCAGGUGGGGCUGGGUGGAGGUGGGGGCUCCCCAUGGCCCGUCCUGACCUUGCCACCCCUGGGGGUGCCCUGCAGGCUUCCUGAAGGAGGGCUGUGAGCUCAUCAAUGAGGCCCUGAACCUGUUUAACAACGUCUACGGAGCCAUGCACGUGGAGACCUGCGCCUGCCUGCGCCUCCUCGCCCGCCUCCACUACAUCAUGGGCGACUACGCAGAGGCCCUGAGUAACCAGCAGAAGGCGGUGCUGAUGAGCGAGCGGGUGAUGGGCACCGAGCACCCCAACACCAUCCAGGAAUACAUGCACCUGGCCCUAUACUGCUUCGCCAGCAGCCAGCUGUCCACCGCCCUGAGCCUGCUGUACCGCGCCCGCUACCUCAUGCUGCUGGUGUUCGGGGAAGACCACCCCGAGAUGGCGCUGCUGGACAACAACAUCGGGCUGGUGCUGCACGGGGUGAUGGAGUACGACCUGUCGCUGCGCUUCCUGGAGAACGCGCUGGCCGUCAGCACCAAGUACCACGGGCCCAAGGCCCUCAAGGUGGCCCUCAGCCACCACCUUGUCGCCCGAGUCUACGAGAGCAAAGCUGAGUUCCGGUCGGCCCUGCAGCACGAGAAGGAGGGUUACACCAUCUACAAGACGCAGCUGGGCGAGGACCAUGAGAAGACCAAGGAAAGCUCCGAGUACCUCAAGUGCCUGACCCAGCAGGCCGUGGCCCUGCAGCGCACCAUGAAUGAGAUCUACCGCAACGGCUCCAGCGCCAACAUCCCGCCCCUCAAGGUGAGUCCGGGGCGGAGCGGCCCCUUCGGCCCGGCGAGCCCGGGAGCCCCGCUCACCGCUGGUUUCCCCGCCCCGCAGUUCACGGCCCCCAGCAUGGCCAGCGUCUUGGAGCAGCUGAACGUCAUUAACGGCAUCCUCUUCAUUCCUCUCAGGUGAGGCCUCCGCCCCACUCAAGCGUCUCCCGGUUGGGGGUUUUUUGUGAGUUGGA